Molecule: non-coding RNA, 424 nt
Organism: Cinara cedri
Lineage: Eukaryota; Metazoa; Arthropoda; Insecta; Hemiptera; Aphididae
Source: the annotation of a GenBank genome assembly
AGUCUUGACUCUGGUCUAUUCUCUAUUAUAAACUAUUUAUAGACUUAAAAAAACUUGUCCAUCUUCCCGUCCGAAGGCUCUAUCUGAACGGCCCGUAACAAUAUUUACAAUGUGUUUUUUGUUUACGCUGAGAUGGCCAAGCUCCGAAUCGACUGGAUCGGAUGAUGAGGGAUCUUGCAAGGUGACGACGACCAUGGGAGUCUGGGAAGCUGAAGCAACUACCCCGAACGUCUCAGUGGGGACCGUCGUCACGGAUCCGGCAAACGUGCGUCUCGCCCUCGCAUUUCGUUUGCACGCACAUUUCGCAAUCUAUAACACGUAAACGACAGUGAAUCACCUGCAAGGUCGCGUUAAGCCAUCGUAAAACAUUAAAUUAUGUAUUGAAGUGCGACAGCUUAGAAGAAUAUAAAUGUCAGGAAAUUUA